AGCUUUUCAAAUCACUACUUUGAGCUCCACAUUUCUACUUCCAACGUUCACCACCUUCAAAGCUUCCAAGCUUCCCACGUUCCAAGGUUGUGUCCAAGUGCUCUUUGCUCAAAGCUCUACACUUCUUUUUCUAAUCUUCUUGAGUGAUCCAAGUUAAGUAGAAGUGUUGUCCAAAAUUCUUACAUCUUUUUAUUGUGUGUUCCACUUUGGUUGAGAGAGGUUGUUCUCAAGAUUACCAAAGUACAAGGGAGGUUAUUGAGCUGAACCAAAAAGCUCUAGGUUGGUUUUAUAAAGUUUUUUGGUAAAACUCUUAGGUUGAAUUUACCUGCAAAGAUUCAAAUUGGUUUUAUAGAGUUUCUUGGUAAAACUCUUAGGUGAAAUCUACCUGUAAAAGAUUCAAGGUUCUUGAGCGUUGUAGCAUAGUAAAAGCUCUGUUUGGUUUUAUAGAGUUUUCUGAUAUAUAAAACUCUUAGGUGGAAUCUAUCUGCAAAGGAUUUAAGGUUCUUGAACGUUGUAGCCUAGUAAAAGCUCUGGUAGGUUUCGCCAAUACCUUUAGGCAAGUGAAUUUCAUGAGGGUACAUUACGAG
Molecule: long non-coding RNA, 587 nt
Filed under: Zostera marina
Lineage: Eukaryota; Viridiplantae; Streptophyta; Magnoliopsida; Alismatales; Zosteraceae
Description: long non-coding RNA (ZMAR_LNC006137)
Source: RNAcentral